RNAcentral lists this transfer RNA (74 nucleotides) under Borrelia miyamotoi. RNAcentral's name for it is "tRNA-Asp (GTC) (tRNA-Asp-GTC-1-1)". It matches the Rfam family "tRNA". Rfam says of the family: Transfer RNA (tRNA) molecules are approximately 80 nucleotides in length. Their secondary structure includes four short double-helical elements and three loops (D, anti-codon, and T loops). The record is from RNAcentral. RNAcentral also lists the same sequence under 1 other name. Lineage: Bacteria; Pseudomonadati; Spirochaetota; Spirochaetia; Spirochaetales; Borreliaceae.
GGGGGCGUAGUUCAGAUGGUUAGAAUGCCUGCCUGUCACGCAGGAGGUCGCGGGUUCGAGUCCCGUCACUCCCG